Molecule: ribosomal RNA, 460 nt
Filed under: uncultured bacterium
Lineage: Bacteria
Description: partial 16S ribosomal RNA
Rfam family: Bacterial small subunit ribosomal RNA
Source: RNAcentral
CCUACGGGAGGCAGCAGUGAGGAAUAUUGGUCAAUGGCCGGAAGGCUGAACCAGCCAUGCCGCGUGAAGGUCAGUGCCCUAUGGGCGUUAAACUUCUUUUGUGCGGGAGCAAUAAUGGUCACGUGUGGCCAGACGAGAGUACCGUACGAAUAAGCAUCGGCUAACUUCGUGCCAGCAGCCGCGGUAAUACGGGGGAUGCAAGCGUUAUCCGGAUUUAUUGGGUUUAAAGGGUGCGUAGGCUGUGAGGUAAGUCAGCGGUGAAAUGCCCCCGCUCAACGGGGUGAAGUGCCAUUGAUACUGCCGUGCUGGAAUGCGGAUGCCGUGGGAGGAAUGUGUGGUGUAGCGGUGAAAUGCAUAGAUAUCACACAGAACACCGAUUGCGAAGGCAUCUCACGAAUCCGCGAUUGACGCUGAGGCACGAAGGCCAGGGGAGCGAAAGGGAUUAGAUACCCUUGUAGUC